UAGAACUUUAGGCUGAGCUUGAUUCAGAGUUGAACUUCCACGGCGUCACAGAGCGUAGACUAGAAACAAUUACCAAGGGCAGAACACUAUGAAGAGUUUCUAGGUCAGUGUUGCUGAGGUAAAUUCUCCAAAGCCUUUUAAUGAAAUCCAAAUAGAGCAAAAUGGACUGCUUUAAACUGAUUACUGUGAGUGUUCAGGACAGGAGUAGAAAGACAAGACCUAGAGGAUAUCUUUGGAGUAGAGAAGAUAAUUUCACAGGCUUUUAAAUACAGUUUCUGUGGCCAAAGAAAAGCGGUGUUUGCUGAUCCCUUAACAUCUUGUGUCUAGAAACUGAUCCUGACUACUAUUGAAAUUCCAGGAUACUAUAUUUUCUUGGUGGUCACAGCUUAAACUCAGUAAAUUCCUUAUGACCAAGUUAUUUUGCACAGGAGCGCCACAAUGGCUUGCUAAGGAGGAACAAAUGGUCUUGCUGAUGAGAUAUACAGUGCUUGACACAUUUUCCACCAGUGGGAGCUACAUCGAAAGAUGAAGUGAGGCACUUGAGGAGGAGACUCCAAGCUUGACUCAACAUACAAGGGUAAGGGAUGUCAUUUAUUGCUCCUGAUGUGGAACCAGUGGGGACAGGGGUUUUGAGGGACUGUAGACAUGGAACAAUCUGGCUGAUUAUACAACAGUGAUAAAUGCCUUAACAAAGCAUGCAUCGGAAUUAGAAAUG
Molecule: long non-coding RNA, 715 nt
Filed under: Papio anubis (olive baboon)
Lineage: Eukaryota; Metazoa; Chordata; Mammalia; Primates; Cercopithecidae
Description: lncRNA (ENSPANG00000046302.1)
Source: RNAcentral